This 2843-nucleotide long non-coding RNA is filed under the name Triticum aestivum (bread wheat). RNAcentral describes it as "long non-coding RNA (TAES_LNC027496)". Lineage: Eukaryota; Viridiplantae; Streptophyta; Magnoliopsida; Poales; Poaceae. The record is from RNAcentral.
AAAUUAAAAAUAUCAAUAUAUUUAUUAUAUAUAAGAGUGUAGGAUACAUAUGCAUUACAAUAAACAAAUACCAAUAUUAUUGGUGCAACAGAAUAUCAUUCAUAUCAAUUUGACUAUAGAGAACACAACUAUGUAGAAUAUUACACCAUAGCAGAUGCAUCAAUUCGACCAAAGAAAAAGAUCUUGGGAAUGAUAUUACAUUUUUCAAUCUAUCAAUGUAAACUACAGGUAUUGCUAAGUAAAAUCUUCUUUGCUGCUUGAUCCAGCCGAAGAAUUCAGCUGCAACUCAAUUAUCCUUCUUUUGAAUCUGUAAAAGAAAAUUAAACCUUACAGUUAUAUGUGAUUAAACGUAUACAAAUAUAAAUUCGAAAUAUGAAAGAAAAAAUACUUUAACUUACAAAAGCUCAAGGCCAUGCAAUUAAGUAUCCUGAAGCAAAAGCAUCACCAAUUCUCUGCAAUAAGAAACUCCCCUUGCUAACUCCUCAUUAUCCAGAAUAGGUUCAUCCAUGGCAAAGUUAUAAAGAAUAUAAACAUUCUAUAUGAAUUAUCAAUGAGCGCGUCCAUAUGACUACAUAAACAUAUACCUGGAAACCAGUAGCCAGCAUUACAAUGCCUUUAAGCAACAUGGAACUGUUAUUCAUAAACCCUUGAGGCAUCGACACUAACCGAGCUCCCCGCAAACAUUCUGCAAGAGUAGAAUGAUAAAUAACUCGACAUAGAAAUAGAUGUACAACCACAAGCUACAAACUAUAAGCAUGCAGUAUAAACAAAUGUUCAACAGAUUUGGAAUUUAAUGUAUAACCUAUUUUGCACAUAAUGUAAUGACAGGUACUCCCACCGUUCCAAAAUAGAUGACUCAACUUUGUACUAACUUUAGUAUAAAGCCGGGUCAUCUAUUUUGGAACGGAGGGAGUACUUGGUAAAAGGUCAUGGUAUCUUACAUUUUACCUAAAUAACAAAGUAACCAGGAUGGGUACUUGGUAAACUGUGAUGCUAUCACCCAUUGGAUUAUAUCAAACUAGCAGAUGAGAUUGAGAUACGAGAAAUAUAAUAAUUAAUGUGGAAAUGGACAGACAAGCAUCUGCUGUAUUUUCAUAGUGAUAAUUGGGAUAUACUACACCAAAAUGAUCUUACAUCUACUGUUGUACGGCCUGCAGAACCCUUACCAGGAAAAGCACUAUGUAUUACACCUAAAUUCCCUGUCAGUAAAGUAGAUAUGCAUAUUGUUGUACGGCCUGCAGAACCCUUACCAGAAAAAGCACUAUGUAUUACACCUAAAUUCCCUGUCAGCAAAGUAGAUAUCCAUAGUGCUCUGCACAAUCUCUGUUAUGUGAUCUGGGACACCAUCUUCUCCAACAUUGCCUCUGCAUUAAUUCAUGGAAUGACAUGAGCACAUAAGUAUAUUGAGUAGAAGAGUAAACUCAUCAAAGGAACUCAAAGUAAUGAUACAAACUUUCUACAAGAUACUUAUAUUCCUGAAAGGCAUGCACCGGGCUAGCCUGAAUCUGUGAUACUUGCUUACUUGAAUAAUAUGUGCUGGCUACGCUGAAUCUGUGAUACUUACUUUCCUGAAAUAUAUGUGCUAGGCUAGACCGAAUCUGUACCAGAUUAUUAUCACUAGACGAUCUAGAAAUACACAUAUAUACAACAUUGAUUGCGCUAAAUCAAUUGCAUGCCCAAUUAAUUUAAUUCUGAAAUUGCUAAUUGACUGGGAACAACAAGCAGCCAAGCAGCAAUUAUUCAUGGGUAUUGGGUAGAAAGCAGCAACAGCGCAAGUAUUCAGUCAAAUGAGCAGCCGGACACAAGAUCUGUGAGCCACCCACAACAGACUCAUUGUAAAUCUGGGAAGAGCUUGCAAAAACUGAGUACAGUACAUCUAGUAAAUUUCCACGAGAUUACACAAAAGCAUGCACCCACUGUUUGAUGUUCCAGGAGAUGUCACAAUAUUCAGUCAGCUAUCUUCAGGUAAUGACAAUGUCCACCGCAGGCCUUUCGGGCUUUUGACAUUAUUCACUCGGGUCCUGCUUAACAGGGAUAAGUAGUAGUGUUAGUAACAGAACAAUAAGUUGAGAAAUGCAUAGCUAGGUGAGGUGCACGCCUGCCUGUAAUUCUAAUUCUAAGUUGUGUCACUGGAUAGUCUGGCCAGGUGAGGUGCACGCUUGCCUGUACAUACACUGAUCAUGAAUGGCAUGCAGAACCUAGAAACAGAUUUCCACUAGGCGUCGAGAUAGCAACGACAGUGUAUCUUACGCCUUACGCCCUAAAUUAGCUGCCAUCGUAGUUAGCUGCCAAUAUUCAAAUCAUGUGUUCCUGGUUAGAUAAUCAGGCGCCUGUUUACAGAACAGGGCGUCUUAUAAGUACAGGGCACCUAAAACCAGAUGAACACAAUCUAAUUCAUCAGUAUAAGUACUUGUUUACGAAACAUGGCGUCUUUAAAAUUUAUAGAAUAAUUCCACUUGAUCCAGUGCAUACAAUAUUAUUGUGAUGCGGUCCACUAAGUUCACACCUGACGCACAAGAAACUAGUACUGUACAUAGUAGAACACAGACACCCCAGAGUACCACUUAAUCUCCAAAUCACAAAACAAUAACAUACAGCUCUUGACCAGUUCCACUGCACAAGCCGAUGGCUCCCUCACAAGCAUUCAAUCAAACGAGUAGCCGAGGGCAGCAGCCGGCAACUCGAUGGAUGAACUCCAAUUCACAGAGAUGAAGACAUGAGAGGAUGGUGGGUUUGAGGUUACCUGCCGUCUGGAGGAGAGGAUGCUGGAGACUGAGGUCGCCAGUCCAGUCCAGGAGGCGGAGGUGGUGUCGAGUCCAGCGGCAGUGACGGCAUUGAGCCCA